AGUGAACGCUGGCGGUAGGCCUAACACAUGCAAGUCGAACGGCAGCACCGUAAGAGCUUGCUCUUCCGGGUGGCGAGUGGCGGACGGGAGAGGAAUAUAUCGGACUCUACUUUUUCGUGGGGCUUAACGUAGGUAAACUUACUCUAAUACAGCAUACGCCCUACGGGUGAAAGCAUGGGAUCUUCGGACCUUGCGCGAAUGAAUUCGCCGAUGUGGGACUUGCUAGUUGGCGGGGUAAAGGCCAACUAAGUCGACGAUCCGUAGCCGGUCGGAGAGGAUGAUAGGCGACACUGGAGCGGGGACACGCACCAGGCGCCUGCGAGAGGGAGCAGUGGGGAAUAGUGGACAAUGGGCGCAAGCCUGGUCCAGCCAUACCGCGUCGGUGAAGAAGGCCUUCGGGUUGGAAAGCCCUUUUGUUGGGAAAGAAAAGCAGCCGGUUAAUACCCCGCUGGUCUGACGGUACCCAAAGAAUAAGCACCGGCUAACUUCGUG
RNAcentral lists this ribosomal RNA (492 nucleotides) under uncultured bacterium. RNAcentral's name for it is "partial 16S ribosomal RNA". It matches the Rfam family "Bacterial small subunit ribosomal RNA", at positions 29 to 507 of the family's 1533-position model. The record is from RNAcentral.